GAAGAAGUUAAGUACUUAAUCCAUAUAUACCUACGACCGGAACCGUUGCCGAAGCUGAUCCUGCUAUGUAGCUGUGUGUUUUCGCAUCAGCCAUUAUUAUCGACGAAGCGACGACGACGAACACCGAUACAAUAAUUCAGAUCAUGGAUGCGAUGGUGAGUUAAAUCGAGAAUUUUUCAAAUGAGAUAAAAAACAACUGACGACUCUAUUGCCAAUUACAUCGAUAAGUCUAAUAAUAAAUAACGUAAUGCAAGCGUAUAUACGUCCGUCAAAUCAUCGUCAAGCGGAUAAAAGGACUGUUCUGAUUCAUGCAGAACUGUGGUUUCUCAAGUUCUAAAGAAAAAUGUAAUCGAAUGUCGUUUCCGUGUCGAUCAAACGAUGAGAAUGAGUAGUCGUUGCUGGAAAAUUGUCUGAAUUCUGAAAUGCAGAGCCAUCCACGAAAUAUUCAUCUAAAACUGGAGCUUCUAUCUCUCACGAAUCUGAGUUGGUUCCGUCGAAGGAAUGAACGCUAAUUUCGAGCCGAAGUCGUGUUUCUUCGAGAUAUUUUGGAGCAGGAUGAGUUCAAAGACUAUUAAUGCAGUCGAUCGAACUUCGCAGAAGCAGCUCUAUAAACCUACUUUGUGAACGAAAUUAUGUAGGUACAUCGAUUAUAUAAAACGCCAUAUAGCAGAGCUGCGAACGAGUAAAGGAAAAAGGCAACAAAAAAAAUCGCUGAAUACCGAAUGGCAUCAGGUGCUGAGGUGGAUUGUUUGGCGUGAAAUUGUACGUCAUCAAAUGGAUAGGUGUCUGCUGAAGAAAGAUGAAUAGAAAACGAGAGAAAAAGUGAGUACUUACAAAUUUCCUAUCAGAAAUGAUGGAAUAUGAACUCGUGUGUGAGAAUAAGUAGGUAGGUAAGUAAUUUUAUAAUUCUUAUGAGAAAAGUUAUGUAGGUAAGUCACUUCUACAUCUGUGUGACUUUUAUUUUCAAUGGCAAAUCAAAAAAAAAAAGUUCUAAAAUCAAUGAAAAAAUUCUAACGCGCAACAAAAACCUUCAGAUUAUUGAUAAUUGUGUACAAAUUUUCUUCCAAUUUCAAUUUUUUUGAAAAUUUAAAUGCAAGUUACCUAAUUGUGUAUCAAAAAUAUUACACACUACUUGGUUUUCAGGUUUUCGCAAGCAGAUACUCGUAUGGGUUAAACCGAGCGAUGAUAAGAAUGAUUGUAGCAUCACACGAUAACAUAAUUUUAGAAUUACACGUAAAUGUGAUCUUUUUUUUUCAACUAAAAGGUUGUAAAUUUAAUUCAUUUUACGUUGGAAAACAUAUCAAUCUCGAUUAAGCACACAUACUGUACUCGACAGAUAAUAUGGAUUUAUGGAGCCAAAUUCAUCGUAUGUAUAGUCCAUUCUUUGUCCUCUAAUCUACGUAAGAUUGAUGACAAUUUUAGAUUUCGAGAAAGUGAAGACACCAGUGACACAAGAUCGUAGUCUUUGUUCAUUCAGCAAAUAUAUCCACGUGUAUUCAUUCAUAAAAUUCAUCCAUCAGUAUCUCGUAGAUAAUUAACUUACAGGCAUAAUAUUUUGAAAAAUAUAAUUUAAAAAGCAAUUCGUUUUACCGGUUCUAUAAGUAUUUAGAAAAAACCUACCUGUUUAGAUUUGGUGAUAGGUAUAUAGGUUACAAUUCCAUAAAAAUCUGGCACGAGCAUGACACAGGAAGGUGACCAAAGUUUUAUAUUAUUCUGCAAUUCUUCGGUAUUAAUUUAAAUAUACGAGCUAUUUAAGUAUACCUACACUUAGGAUACCUAAAUUAAAAAUUGACACGUCAUCAUUAAGAGCCAUUGAUCGUCAAUAACAAAAAUCAUAAAAACGUUGAUUUUUUUGCACGGAAUUAAUAAACGUAAGUAUAUAUCGAAAAAGUGUCGCCAAUGCUGUAAAACUAUGGCGAUUUAGAAAACAGAUAAAACUUAUAUGAUAAUUUUAUUAGUAUUUAUGAAUUUACGUGCCAAAAUUCAUAAUAGACGAAUAUUUUCGAUAUUUUACGACUUUAGGUGAGUUUUUUUUACCUCGUUCAUCUGUAGUAUUUUUGUUCAAUUAAUUAAACGCUCGUCAUCGUAUAUCUACGAUAUAGUUUCGAAACUGGUACUAAAUAGGUAGGUAAAGGUGUAGUUGAUAGGCAGAUGAAAGUAGGUAUUUAUGGCAUAGAAUUUUUAAAGACUAGGUAAAUACGCGUAGCAACGAGGGGUGUUGCUGUAACUGUGGAACAAUUGGAGAAACCUUUCAAUGGGGGUGAAAAUGAAAAUAAAAGAAAUAUUAUUAUUCGAGUGUAACGAAGGCGAAAAUUUUUUUUAAAACGUUAUUCUUUCUGAAGCUCGAGGGAAAAAAUGAAAGAAUUCAAUGGUCGUUUUUUCAUAGGUACCUUACAUUAAAACGUCGUCGGAUUUUCUCCGCGAGGCAUUUAACCCGUACUUUUUAUUUCUG
Molecule: long non-coding RNA, 2452 nt
Organism: Planococcus citri (citrus mealybug)
Lineage: Eukaryota; Metazoa; Arthropoda; Insecta; Hemiptera; Pseudococcidae
Exons: 8
Source: RefSeq, a predicted model, not a curated record